CUUAGGUCAACCUAGGUGUGUGAAUUAGGACUGCUGAAUUUUAAAAUGGAAGCUAAGUAUGUGUUAGACCCUCUUGACAAACCAAGGUUUUGAUGCCGUUGGGAUUAUUAUUGGGCUACCAUCUUCAAGAUCGAGUACAGGGAACAUUCUUCGGGUCGAAUGCAAAAUGCCCCUAGUAGAAGCGCCAAAGGAGGCCCUACCGCUUGAUUGCAGGCCUAGUUUUGGCACAGCAUGGAUGACCAAAUACAAUUUCAGAGUAGGUGAUUCAGAGUUGUUGACGGUUGUUCGUCUUAGAUCUCAUACAGUAUCAUGUCAUAUAACUGGUGAUUUCUUAAAUGACUGGUUCGUCCUCAAACUGUUAUGCAUGUAUUUCAGGUGAAUGGAACAUACAACUGUAAGUACACACCCGGCAUUUCCGAUGUGGAUAUCUUUCCUGGAAAUCUCUUCAACUGUCAAGCUAAAGACCCAUCUAAGAUCGACAUAAUUCGAAAAUAUUCUUUGCUCUCAAUGAAGAUCAUAGGUUUCUGGUUCACCAUCAAGGGGACCAUAAGCGUGUAGUUCGAGAAUCAGCAGUAUCUGGAAUUUUCACCGGAAUGGAUACUUCAGUGUACUCAUUCUGGUUAGAGUGCUCCAGAGAUCGAAGUCAAGUUUUGCUAGCAUCCUGGAUGCUAGAAAUCUCCGUCUUUCCGUGUACAGGUAAUUAUGCACGGGGCAUGCUUUUGAUUGGUAUCGAAAAAAUGCAUAUGAAGACUGAAUAAAUUAUGAGGAGUUCCCUUUGUAUAUAUCACAACAGCGCAAAUUUAGCAGUAGAAGGGUUUUGGCAAUUUCAGAGACUUUUUCUGGGACUCAGUCAAUCUCAGAUUUGUUGCAUUCUCCAAUUUCGGACAUCAGCCCUUAAAUCAGAUGAUACAUUGGCUGUAGAGUUCCCAGGUGACUACCUGCAGGUGCUCACACUGCAAGAUCUAAGGUAUGCAACCACUACCAGCACCACCAAUCAGCCGAGAGUCUCGGCCCAAGAUUACCUGUUUGACAACAGUACUGGUCCUUUGAUUCUGAACCCGCUUCACAAGAUACCAUAAGGCCUGAAACACGAUGAUCAAUCUCUUCAAGUUCAAUCUUCCUACGGGGAGUGGCUUAAGAAAACCAGAGAACUAUUGGUUAAAUCAAAAUGAGAACAACUGACUCAAGUCCAUUCUGCACCACGACUCAGCUUUCAAUGUCUAUGCCAGUUGCUUCCUUUGGUUCCUCCGCAGCUAGCACUCAUCCCCUUGACUGAUUAUGGCAACAAAACUCUUCCUCGGAGUCACUAUGAAGCGUUGAAGUGAAAAUACAACAGAAAACAAGCUCAAGUUUCAUGGUUCAAUACAAAAAGAACAACAGAAUUAUCUUGUGGUUGUUUUUAACUCGCAUUUUCAGGUUUUCUAACUUUCUUUAUUCGAAACCCGAAGGAAAUAUGCAUCUUAUGUUGAGGUUCACUGGUUGUCUAUUUUCUGUAUGAUACAUUGAAUUGUAGAAGUGUCAUAUCAUGCAGUACUUACCUUGUUGCAGCAACAAUCUGCAGAAUAUACAUUCUCAUGUGUCCGGUAUUCUAGAUGUCGAAGCACUACACCUUGGUUUUAUGAUGCCACAUUGAGAAAUGUUAUUGUUUAAGGUGCAGGCAUUGUUAACAGGUCUCAGUUGAUGAUUUCAAGCCUUUCUUUUUCAGAUCCACUCCAUUAAACACCAUGCCAGAAGCUCUGAGGAGACCAGAAGUGGAAGUCAUUUUCUUGAAAGGUGUACUGUUCCAUAUAGAAGUGGUCCAAAAUGGACCAGGUUACUGCAAAUGAUGAGCCAUAAACUCAUGCUGCAGUGCACACUUGAUAAAUCUGGUAGUCUUGUUUCCUACAAAGGGGAUGACCCUAAGUUUGUAGGGAGUCUUGAGGUAGCAUCACCUGGUAGAUGGUCCCAUUUUCUACAGAAAUGGUGGGAGUCUUUACUGUUUGUUUAUAAUUGAAUCCUUUAGGUGUUUGGCCUUGCACAGAGGAGACCAUGCCUUUAAGUGAAGUCCUGACCAACCUUCCUCUGGAAUCAUGUCAGUCCCACCUUUGUUUUUGUUUUGUUGGGAAAUAGUGGUUGAACCAUCACUUGGGCUUCUUUAUUCAAGAACAUCUACAACUACCUAGCUCCAAAUAACAUCCAUCAAUCCAUCAAUCCAUCCAUCCAUAUUUUUGGGUCACAUGACAAAUUUUUUGGAUGUCUUAGUGACAUGUUUAGGGCCAUGAUAUCUGGGGAUACCAAGACUAGCCAGGGAUGCCAUUCGAACAAUCCGACAAUCAAGAUCUAUUAGGUCUACUAGGAGUUGUUUGUCUAUAUACUGUAUAAUGAUAUCAGCCCCGAUAAAACUGGUAUUUCCUGACAUGUUUACUAGGGUUUAUGGCUCCUCGGUCCAUGAUAUAUGUGGAUACCAAGACUAGUCUGGGAUGCCAUUUGAUCGAUCCGACGAUCAAGAUCUAUUAGAAUUUGUUUGUCUGCAUGUAAUGGUAUCAGCCUUGAUUACCGGGGAUUGUGAGAAAUACCGGAAGAAACAAAAAAAAUG
Molecule: long non-coding RNA, 2575 nt
Organism: Papaver somniferum (opium poppy)
Lineage: Eukaryota; Viridiplantae; Streptophyta; Magnoliopsida; Ranunculales; Papaveraceae
Exons: 5
Source: RefSeq, a predicted model, not a curated record